UCUAGCUCUAGGUCGGGGACAACCACUGGAAACGGUGGCUAAUACCGGAUGUGCCGAAAGGUGAAAGAUUUAUUGCCUAGAGAUGAGCUCGCGUCUGAUUAGCUAGUUGGUGUGGUAAGAGCGCACCAAGGCGACGAUCAGUAGCUGGUCUGAGAGGAUGAUCAGCCACACUGGGACUGAGACACGGCCCAGACUCCUACGGGAGGCAGCAGUGGGGAAUUUUCCGCAAUGGGCGAAAGCCUGACGGAGCAAUACCGCGUGAGGGAGGAAGGCUCUUGGGUUGUAAACCUCUUUUCUCAGGGAAUAAGAAAGUGAAGGUACCUGAGGAAUAAGCAUCGGCUAACUCCGUGCCAGCAGCCGCGGUAAUACGGAGGAUGCAAGCGUUAUCCGGAAUGAUUGGGCGUAAAGCGUCCGCAGGUGGCACUGUAAGUCUGCUGUUAAAGAGCAAGGCUCAACCUUGUAAAGGCAGUGGAAACUACAGAGCUAGAGUACGUUCGGGGCAGAGGGAAUUCCUGGUGUAGCGGUGAAAUGCGUAGAGAUCAGGAAGAACACCGGUGGCGAAAGCGCUCUGCUAGGCCGUAACUGACACUGAGGGACG
Molecule: ribosomal RNA, 598 nt
Filed under: Trichormus variabilis ATCC 29413
Lineage: Bacteria; Bacillati; Cyanobacteriota; Cyanophyceae; Nostocales; Nostocaceae
Description: bacterial SSU rRNA
Rfam family: Bacterial small subunit ribosomal RNA
Source: RNAcentral